RNAcentral lists this ribosomal RNA (496 nucleotides) under Termitomyces sp. symbiont of Odontotermes javanicus. RNAcentral's name for it is "eukaryotic LSU rRNA". It matches the Rfam family "Eukaryotic large subunit ribosomal RNA", at positions 72 to 569 of the family's 3401-position model. The record is from RNAcentral. Lineage: Eukaryota; Fungi; Basidiomycota; Agaricomycetes; Agaricales; Lyophyllaceae.
GGAUUCCCCUAGUAACUGCGAGUGAAGCGGGAAAAGCUCAAAUUUAAAAUCUGGUAGCUUUGCUGCCCGAGUUGUAAUCUAGAGAAGCAUUAUCCGUGCUGGCGCGUGUACAAGUGUCCUGGAAUGGACCAUCAUAGAGGGUGAGAAUCCCGUCUUUGACACGACUGCCUAGUGCUUUGUGAUGUGCUCUCAAAGAGUCGAGUUGUUUGGGAAUGCAGCUCUAAAUGGGUGGUAAAUUCCAUCUAAAGCUAAAUAUUGGCGAGAGACCGAUAGCGAACAAGUACCGUGAGGGAAAGAUGAAAAGAACUUUGGAAAGAGAGUUAAACAGUACGUGAAAUUGCUGAAAGGGAAACGCUUGAAGUCAGUCGCGUUGGAUGGGGAUCAACCUUGCUUUUUGCUUGGCUUACUUCCCAGUUGACGGGUCAGCAUCAGUUUUGACCAGUGGAUAAAGGUUAGGGGAAUGUGGCACCUCCGGGUGUGUUAUAGCCCCUGGUCA